AUUGAACGCUGGCGGCAUGCCUUACACAUGCAAGUCGAACGGCAGCACGGGAGCUUGCUCCUGGUGGCGAGUGGCGAACGGGUGAGUAAUAUAUCGGAACGUACCCUAGAGUGGGGGAUAACGUAGCGAAAGUUACGCUAAUACCGCAUACGAUCUACGGAUGAAAGUGGGGGAUCGCAAGACCUCAUGCUCAUGGAGUGGCCGAUAUCUGAUUAGCUAGUUGGUGGGGUAAAAGCCUACCAAGGCGACGAUCAGUAGCUGGUCUGAGAGGACGACCAGCCACACUGGAACUGAGACACGGUCCAGACUCCUACGGGAGGCAGCAGUGGGGAAUUUUGGACAAUGGGGGCAACCCUGAUCCAGCAAUGCCGCGUGAGUGAAGAAGGCCUUCGGGUUGUAAAGCUCUUUUGUCAGGGAAGAAACGGUUCAGGCUAAUAUCCUGGGCUAAUGACGGUACCUGAAGAAUAAGCACCGGCUAACUACGUGCCAGCAGCCGCAGUAA
Molecule: ribosomal RNA, 502 nt
Filed under: uncultured bacterium
Lineage: Bacteria
Description: partial 16S ribosomal RNA
Rfam family: Bacterial small subunit ribosomal RNA
Source: RNAcentral